RNAcentral lists this ribosomal RNA (589 nucleotides) under uncultured bacterium. RNAcentral describes it as "bacterial SSU rRNA". It matches the Rfam family "Bacterial small subunit ribosomal RNA", at positions 293 to 882 of the family's 1533-position model. The record is from RNAcentral.
UGAGAGGAAGGUUCCCCACAUUGGAACUGAGACACGGUCCAAACUCCUACGGGAGGCAGCAGUGAGGAAUAUUGGUCAAUGGGCGAGAGCCUGAACCAGCCAAGUAGCGUGAAGGAUGACUGCCCUAUGGGUUGUAAACUUCUUUUAUAAAGGAAUAAAGUCGGGUAUGCAUACCCGUUUGCAUGUACUUUAUGAAUAAGGAUCGGCUAACUCCGUGCCAGCAGCCGCGGUAAUACGGAGGAUCCGAGCGUUAUCCGGAUUUAUUGGGUUUAAAGGGAGCGUAGAUGGAUGUUUAAGUCAGUUGUGAAAGUUUGCGGCUCAACCGUAAAAUUGCAGUUGAUACUGGAUAUCUUGAGUGCAGUUGAGGCAGGCGGAAUUCGUGGUGUAGCGGUGAAAUGCUUAGAUAUCACGAAGAACUCCGAUUGCGAAGGCAGCCUGCUAAGCUGCAACUGACAUUGAGGCUCGAAAGUGUGGGUAUCAAACAGGAUUAGAUACCCUGGUAGUCCACACGGUAAACGAUGAAUACUCGCUGUUUGCGAUAUACAGCAAGCGGCCAAGCGAAAGCGUUAAGUAUUCCACCUGGGGAGUA